GGCCCUACGGGGUGCAGCAGGCGAGAAACCUUUGCAAUGUGCGCAAGCACGACAAGGUUAAUCCGAGUGUUUCCUGCUAAAGGAAUCUUUUGUUAGUUCUAAAACCACUGAUGAAUAAGGGGUGGGCAAGUUCUGGUGUCAGCCGCCGCGGUAAAACCAGCACCUCAAGUGGUCAGGAGGAUUAUUGGGCCUAAAGCAUCCGUAGCCUGUUCUAUAAGUUUCCGGUUAAAUCCACUAGCUCAACUAAUGGGCUGCCGAAAAUACUGUGGAACUAGGGAGUGGGAGAGGUAGACGGUACUCGGUAGGAAGGGGUAAAAUCCUUUGAUCUAUUGAUGACCACCUGUGGCGAAGGCGGUCUACCAGAACACGUUCGACGGUGAGGGAUGAAAGCUGGGGGAGCAAACCGGAUUAGAUACCCGGGUAGUCCCAGCUGUAAACGAUGCAGACUCGGUGAUGCGCUGGCUUGUGGCCAGUGCAGUGCCGCAGGGAAGCCGUUAAGUUUGCCGCCUGGGAAGUACGUACGCAAGUAUGAAACUUAAAGGAAUUGGCGGGGGAGCAC
RNAcentral lists this ribosomal RNA (559 nucleotides) under uncultured Nitrosopumilales archaeon. Its description in RNAcentral is "bacterial SSU rRNA". It matches the Rfam family "Archaeal small subunit ribosomal RNA", at positions 319 to 879 of the family's 1478-position model. The record is from RNAcentral. Lineage: Archaea; Thermoproteati; Nitrososphaerota; Nitrososphaeria; Nitrosopumilales.